UUUCAAAAAUGAAGGAUCAAGUUCAUGACAUGUUUACAAGACAAUAUAAAAGGAAGAGAGAACAUAACAAAGUACUAAACCUGGAUCCCAGCCAGAGAGGAACAACAAUAUCUUGACAGAGAACCUCAUGCAUCCCACAUGGGUCAUCUACAUUGUCCAAGAUCUGUGUGCAUCAGAGAUUACAACAGUGGAAAACAAAAGAAUUACGUAACAGAGAGGUCCUGAUGAGUGUAAACAAGAGAAACGUGACUUACUUCUGAGGCACUUUCCUGCCUGUAGUUGAAGCAGAGGGACAAGAGAAGGUCCGCCCUUCAAAUCUUCUCAGACAGUAAAAGAAAAAUGUAUUUCAUAACUGUCUGGAGUCUCUGAUACUGUUGUCCAGUGUUUCUGUUUAGUCAGUACUGUUAUUUAGAGCAGGGAUAAAGGAUUGAAUCAUACCCAAUUUCUUCCAAAGCUGUCAUUUGUUUCAAGAUCCAACUGAUAGCACUGAUGAAGUCUUAGGUAAACUAAAAAUGCAUUACUAAAGUCAAUCCUAUUUUAUUCAAAAGGGAAAUCAACCCUACUCCUAAAAGAGCUUGCUACCUACAGCUGCCAUAUGGAAGGAUGCAUAGAUGAGAAUGAAAUUCUCUCUGGGAUGGUACACUGGUCUCUGGUCUGGGGUACAUUGAUGGUGUAAGAACUGAGCAGCACAAAUUGGAAAACAGGAAAUUCUGAUUCUAUUUAUGAGGAAAAACUGAGGUAGUAAAAAAUUACUAGGCAAGUCUUUCAGCAAUCUGCUGUAAGUGAGCCUGCUUUGCACAGACGACUGGAGAUAAUGACUUCAGAAAGUCCCUUCCAAGAUCAGCUGUUCUAUGGCUCUGUGACCAUGUGAAAAGAAAGAACAUAAUCUGAAAGUUAGUUUUAACCUCAUAGCUGGAGCACUUGGUUUGCUAGAAGAGAUCUGAAUUUGGACCCCAGAGCAAAAUGCCUACAUAUAUACGUAUAUAUAUAAAUGCAUAUGCACAUGAUCUCAUACACACACAGAGGUGUUAAAACUUCGUUAAAAAAGUAGACAAAAAUGAGCCACUCCUUUUACAAAUUGUCAUAUGUUUUUGGCUCCUGAAGAGAGUUUGAAUUCUGGACUGUAAAUUACACAAGAGGAGCAUCUCUAGAAAUUUUGGGUGAGAAAACCAGUGAGUGGGAUUGAGACAUAUACCCUCAUUCUGCAAUCAGGAAGAAAUGCACCCACUUACUUACCUCAGGUACUUCCCUACCUCUGUCACAAAAUGUAUAAUUUCCUCCAUGCUUUUGUUCAAGAAAUCUGGGUAUCUCUUUUCCACCUAAGUAUCUGGGUGCCUUCAUUGAACUAUGUCCUGUCACAUAACGAAUUUCCCACAAAUAUACCAACAGGCUUGGAAGGUUUAUCCUUUCUAUGAACUAAAUCCACAGGCUUUCACUUUUUAUAUGGUUGAUUUCUAAUAUAUCUUACAGAAAAGCACUAAACCCCCCCCAACCUUCCCAAAUUAGUAGAUGCUGCAGUAUUCAAAUGAUCCAAAUGGAAACGACCUCAUUUAAAGAGAGUCCAGUCCUUACACACUCAUGCCUUAUUUGAUAUCAUUGUUCUCUUUCCCAGUAAGUGUGUAUGAUCGGUUAUCUCUUGUCUCACAAUGUAUUCUCUUGAGAGACAGUGAAAGGGAAAACUAAUUUCCAGUUCUGUGCUUUUUUUAAAGACCUCUCCACAUGAGGUCUUUGUUAUGGCUGCAGGCCCCAGGUGCUACAGUAACAUGAUAUUAUUUUAUUAUAAUCAUUGAUAUUAUUAUAGACCUUAUAAGAAAGAAGGAAGUGUAAUUACAAAAUUAAGCAGGAAGAGAGGAUGAUCAGUGAGGAAUUAAGUAUGGGGAAAUAGGCUCAAGAAAAGGGAAAAUUAUUUUUCUAUUUUAUAAAAAACAAGUACCACAAUUUCAACUUUUUAUAUACCCACACAAGUAGAAAAGUCUUCACCUAUGCAAAAGCCUGAAAAUGAGCUCAGUGUGAAAACAAUGUUUUGUGCAUACAAAUCUAUUGUAAAUCAUUUUUAAAGAUUUUCACCUUUGCUCCAUGCAAUAA
Long non-coding RNA from Gallus gallus (chicken), 2085 nucleotides. The record is from Ensembl. NCBI's taxonomy places the organism in Eukaryota, Metazoa, Chordata, Aves, Galliformes, Phasianidae.